Molecule: ribosomal RNA, 636 nt
Filed under: Staphylococcus aureus
Lineage: Bacteria; Bacillati; Bacillota; Bacilli; Caryophanales; Staphylococcaceae
Description: partial 23S ribosomal RNA
Rfam family: Bacterial large subunit ribosomal RNA
Source: RNAcentral
CUCCUAAAAGGUAACGGAGGCGCUCAAAGGUUCCCUCAGAAUGGUUGGAAAUCAUUCAUAGAGUGUAAAGGCAUAAGGGAGCUUGACUGCGAGACCUACAAGUCGAGCAGGGUCGAAAGACGGACUUAGUGAUCCGGUGGUUCCGCAUGGAAGGGCCAUCGCUCAACGGAUAAAAGCUACCCCGGGGAUAACAGGCUUAUCUCCCCCAAGAGUUCACAUCGACGGGGAGGUUUGGCACCUCGAUGUCGGCUCAUCGCAUCCUGGGGCUGUAGUCGGUCCCAAGGGUUGGGCUGUUCGCCCAUUAAAGCGGUACGCGAGCUGGGUUCAGAACGUCGUGAGACAGUUCGGUCCCUAUCCGUCGUGGGCGUAGGAAAUUUGAGAGGAGCUGUCCUUAGUACGAGAGGACCGGGAUGGACAUACCUCUGGUGUACCAGUUGUCGUGCCAACGGCAUAGCUGGGUAGCUAUGUGUGGACGGGAUAAGUGCUGAAAGCAUCUAAGCAUGAAGCCCCCCUCAAGAUGAGAUUUCCCAACUUCGGUUAUAAGAUCCCUCAAAGAUGAUGAGGUUAAUAGGUUCGAGGUGGAAGCAUGGUGACAUGUGGAGCUGACGAAUACUAAUCGAUCGAAGACUUAAUCAA